RNAcentral lists this ribosomal RNA (466 nucleotides) under uncultured bacterium. RNAcentral's name for it is "partial 16S ribosomal RNA". It matches the Rfam family "Bacterial small subunit ribosomal RNA", at positions 28 to 506 of the family's 1533-position model. The record is from RNAcentral.
GACGAACGCUGGCGGCGUGCUUAACACAUGCAAGUCGAACGGAAAGGCCUCUUUCGGGGGGUACUCGAGUGGCGAACGGGUGAGUAACACGUGAGUAACCUGCCCUUGACUUUGGGAUAACUUCAGGAAACUGGGGCUAAUACCGGAUAGGAGCUCUUGCUGCAUGGUGGGGGUUGGAAAGUUUCGGCGGUUGGGGAUGGACUCGCGGCUUAUCAGCUUGUUGGUGGGGUAGUGGCUUACCAAGGCUUUGACGGGUAGCCGGCCUGAGAGGGUGACCGGCCACAUUGGGACUGAGAUACGGCCCAGACUCCUACGGGAGGCAGCAGUGGGGAAUAUUGCACAAUGGGUGGAAGCCUGAUGCAGCAACGCCGUGUGCGGGAUGACGGCCUUCGGGUUGUAAACCGCUUUCGCUCAUGACGAAGCUUUGUGUGACGGUAGUGGGUAAAGAAGCACCGGCUAACUACGU